UGAUGAGAUUGAGAGGGGGGAUGAGAGGGGAGGAUGGGAGGGAGGAGUAACAGAAGUGAAAACAAAAACUUGAACGUAAAAAAAAUUUCAAAUAGAUUUUAGUGUUUUUAGUUUUUGGUUUCACUUUUCUUAAUCCUCCCUCCCAUCCUCUCCUCUCAAUCCCAUCAAUUCUCCCUCUUU
This 180-nucleotide microRNA precursor is filed under the name Prunus dulcis (almond). Its description in RNAcentral is "sRNA ncRNA". The record is from RNAcentral. Lineage: Eukaryota; Viridiplantae; Streptophyta; Magnoliopsida; Rosales; Rosaceae.